Molecule: small nuclear RNA, 102 nt
Organism: Microtus ochrogaster (prairie vole)
Lineage: Eukaryota; Metazoa; Chordata; Mammalia; Rodentia; Cricetidae
Source: Ensembl
AUGCUCUGUAGCACACACACCAAAGUUGGAAUAUUGCAGAGACGAUUAGCAUGACUCCUGCAAAAGGGUGACAGGCAAAUCCGUGGAGGCUUCUCUGUUCGC